GAUGAACGCUGGCGGCGUGCCUAAUACAUGCAAGUCGAGCGAACGGACGAGAAGCUUGCUUCUCUGAUGUUAGCGGCGGACGGGUGAGUAACACGUGGAUAACCUACCUAUAAGACUGGGAUAACUUCGGGAAACCGGAGCUAAUACCGGAUAAUAUUUUGAACCGCAUGGUUCAAAAGUGAAAGACGGUCUUGCUGUCACUUAUAGAUGGAUCCGCGCUCCAUUAGCUAGUUGGUAAGGUAACGGCUUACCAAGGCAACGAUGCAUAGCCGACCUGGGAGGGUGAUCGGCCACACUGGAACUGAGACACGGUCCAGACUCCUACGGGAGGCAGCAGUAGGGAAUCUUCCGCAAUGGGCGAAAGCCUGACGGAGCAACGCCGCGUGAGUGAUGAAGGUCUUCGGAUCGUAAAACUCUGUUAUUAGGGAAGAACAUAUGUGUAAGUAACUGUGCACAUCUUGACGGUACCUAAUCAGAAAGCCACGGCUAACUACGUG
RNAcentral lists this ribosomal RNA (497 nucleotides) under uncultured bacterium. Its description in RNAcentral is "partial 16S ribosomal RNA". It matches the Rfam family "Bacterial small subunit ribosomal RNA", at positions 28 to 507 of the family's 1533-position model. The record is from RNAcentral.